Molecule: long non-coding RNA, 451 nt
Filed under: Ananas comosus (pineapple)
Lineage: Eukaryota; Viridiplantae; Streptophyta; Magnoliopsida; Poales; Bromeliaceae
Description: long non-coding RNA (ACOM_LNC033007)
Source: RNAcentral
UGAGAUUUGAAAUUUAAAAUUUAAAAUUUUGAAUUUAAAAUUUGAGAUUUAAAAUUUAAAAUUUUAAUUUCAAAAUUUGAAAUUUAAAAAUUUAUAUUUUAAAUUUUAAAAUAUAAAUAUGAAAUAUAAAAAUUCAAAUUCUAGUAUAAAAAAAGGAUAAUAUCAUUAUUUUUUAUUUAUAACUAUCCACUUUAAUUCUUAUUCUAUAUAUCUUACCUAACCAAAUGCUAUUUUUUUUAUUUCCAGGAAUAAUCCAAUUUCAUCCAAACGCAAAAUUGAUCUAAUCCCCGCUUAUACCUCAAUUUAUACCUAUUCCUGGAAUAGCUGUUUUUUUGCUUAUUUCCGAACCAAACGAUACCUUAUAGUACUCCACUUCAGUUAUAACUAAAUUGCCCUCUCCAUUUUCAUCGGUGGGCAUCAGACGGUAGACAGUGGUCAAACUAUAUAAAUA